AUUAUAUUAAAUUUUUUAUUUUAUCAAACAAAAUAAUCAAGUAUUUACAGAUUACGUUACUAGGCCUAAAUUCUGAUUCUUCACUACUCGCCACUUGUUAGGCCUUCUGUCUCAAAAGAGUUGUCACCUUUUAUUUUUCGGAGUCUAAGAAAACAAAUCCAACUAGUACUUAGGACAAUCUUUUUAUUGCAGAGGGAGUACAAUAUAGAAGCUCAUAUUACAGCCCGUGAAGUUCCUCCCUUCAACUUAGCUAGUAUCCUCCUCAUACUACUUUACAAAUCCAUCUUGAUUUAAUCUUAUGGUUGACGUCAUCCUCACAUACCCAUCUCUUUUUAUGGUUGACAUCAAGCUCAAACGACAUCGUCUGUUUUAUUUUUGCCAAAACCAAACCGAAGAAUUGCAGCUCAAAACCUGUGCAUUUCAGUUGUCGAUCAAGAUGACGAAAUGAAAAUUACAAAUUAGAAGAAAUAUAAUCUCUCGAGGAAUAUAUUAUAUAAUAUGACGAAUAUGAGAUUAUCAAAUUAAAAUAUACAAUUUCACCAUAAAAGCCACAAGAUCACCUUCAUAUCACCUACAAAAUCCCAAGUGGAACAUACAGGGGACGUGCACUCGAGAAGCUGUUACAUUAAGCGGCAGUUUUGUACAACUUUGACACAACCAUGUGAUGGGCUCUUAAAACAAAUGAAUAACAAGGAAAAAUAGAUUGGAUGCCAUGCAGGACCUCAUUAGUUUUUCAAUAUUGUACAGUAAUUAAGGAGGCCAGAUUUUGAAAAUGGAACAGAGGGAGUAGCUUGAACAAGAAAAAGAGGCUUUUUGACAAGUGAAUAGUGAGAUUAGAUGCCAUGGGGGACCUCAUUAGCUUUUCAAUAUUUUCUAGUAAAUCAAGAUCGCCAGGUUUUGAAGAGGAAUAAAUGAAUAGUUUGAGUAACAAGAGAACGAUUGACACAGCAAUCAUUAGUUUUCGUAGUACGUAUUUUGAAAAGAGAAGUGGGCUUAGAAUAAAGUGCCAAAGGGAAAUAAUAACUCCAACUUAACUCUACCAAUUGAGUUCUAUCUUUAACCAUUAGCCAAGCCAGCUUAGGCAUGGUAAAUAUUAUCUUGUGCACAAAUAAAUUGUAAUUAAAUCACUUGAGAAAAAAAAAAAGCAACCUUUUUGCAGAUUAAUCAAUUGAAUUAAGCAUAUUCAAUCAGGUGGGGUUUAACUGAAUUCUUUUACCUUAAUCAAACCCAAACCACCUAUUCAGUUUCAGUUUAACGACCAACCUUUAUAGAACAUGCACUUUCUGAUUCAGUUUUAACUGGGUGGAUUUUUCAUUUUUGCGAACAGCCUCAGACGUGUGCUGGGAGAUGCCAUUUUUUUUUUUAUUACAUAUAUUCGCGAAACAGAAACUGAUCCUGGGAACGACAUCAGUGAUCCAGGAAGGACUGCAGCUUGCUAGGGUAGCAGAGAAUGAGGUGACUCAGAUUUUGCCAGUCACCAAGAUCUUGUACUUGUCUUCAAAAUACUUUUAUCUGAAUUAACUCGAGGUUGAUUCAAUUGCAGAAAUUAUGCUUAAUCUGAACCAG
Molecule: unclassified non-coding RNA, 1566 nt
Filed under: Hevea brasiliensis (rubber tree)
Lineage: Eukaryota; Viridiplantae; Streptophyta; Magnoliopsida; Malpighiales; Euphorbiaceae
Source: RNAcentral